CGUACACUCCUGCGGGAGGCAGCAGUGGGGAAUAUUACACAAUGGGCGCAAGCCUGAUGCAGCGACGCCGCGUGGGGGAUGAAGGCCUUCGGGUUGUAAACUCCUUUCGCUAGGGACGAAGCUUUUUUGUGACGGUACCUAGAUAAGAAGCACCGGCUAACUACGUGCCAGCAGCCGCGGUAAUACGUAGGGUGCGAGCGUUGUCCGGAAUUACUGGGCGUAAAGGGCUCGUAGGUGGUUUGUCGCGUCGUCUGUGAAAUUCUGGGGCUUAACUCCGGGCGUGCAGGCGAUACGGGCAUAACUUGAGUGCUGUAGGGGUAACUGGAAUUCCUGGUGUAGCGGUGAAAUGCGCAGAUAUCAGGAGGAACACCGAUGGCGAAGGCAGGUUACUGGGCAGUUACUGACGCUGAGGAGCGAAAGCAUGGGUAGCGAACAGGAUUAGAAACCCCGGUAGUCCCAUGA
This 462-nucleotide ribosomal RNA is filed under the name uncultured organism. Its description in RNAcentral is "partial 16S ribosomal RNA". It matches the Rfam family "Bacterial small subunit ribosomal RNA", at positions 330 to 800 of the family's 1533-position model. The record is from RNAcentral.